GCAUACUAUUGCAGGAUCAUCAUUCAGGGAUGAUGAAAGCCUUGCCAGUUUACCUUCAGUUUCAAGUUACAUGACGCCAUCGAAGGCUGUGAAGAAUCGGUCCCGGUUGGCAAGUUCAUCCAGAACAGAGAAGAAAGGAACAAUGGAAAAAGGAUCUGCAAGUGCAGGUUCUGCAAAAAAACAACUUUCCUUUUCAGCUUUUCCUGUUAAGCCAA
RNAcentral lists this unclassified non-coding RNA (215 nucleotides) under Hevea brasiliensis (rubber tree). Lineage: Eukaryota; Viridiplantae; Streptophyta; Magnoliopsida; Malpighiales; Euphorbiaceae. The record is from RNAcentral.